Molecule: ribosomal RNA, 635 nt
Filed under: Rhodococcus sp. Se3Ps_2624
Lineage: Bacteria; Bacillati; Actinomycetota; Actinomycetes; Mycobacteriales; Nocardiaceae
Description: bacterial SSU rRNA
Rfam family: Bacterial small subunit ribosomal RNA
Source: RNAcentral
AGCCUGAUGCAGCGACGCCGCGUGAGGGAUGACGGCCUUCGGGUUGUAAACCUCUUUCAGCAGGGACGAAGCGAAAGUGACGGUACCUGCAGAAGAAGCACCGGCCAACUACGUGCCAGCAGCCGCGGUAAUACGUAGGGUGCAAGCGUUGUCCGGAAUUACUGGGCGUAAAGAGCUCGUAGGCGGUUUGUCGCGUCGUCUGUGAAAACUCGAGGCUCAACCUCGAGCUUGCAGGCGAUACGGGCAGACUUGAGUACUGCAGGGGAGACUGGAAUUCCUGGUGUAGCGGUGAAAUGCGCAGAUAUCAGGAGGAACACCGGUGGCGAAGGCGGGUCUCUGGGCAGUAACUGACGCUGAGGAGCGAAAGCGUGGGUAGCGAACAGGAUUAGAUACCCUGGUAGUCCACGCCGUAAACGGUGGGCGCUAGGUGUGGGUUUCCUUCCACGGGAUCCGUGCCGUAGCUAACGCAUUAAGCGCCCCGCCUGGGGAGUACGGCCGCAAGGCUAAAACUCAAAGGAAUUGACGGGGGCCCGCACAAGCGGCGGAGCAUGUGGAUUAAUUCGAUGCAACGCGAAGAACCUUACCUGGGUUUGACAUAUACCGGAAAGCCGUAGAGAUACGGCCCCCCUUGUGGU